This 390-nucleotide ribosomal RNA is filed under the name uncultured bacterium. RNAcentral describes it as "bacterial SSU rRNA". It matches the Rfam family "Bacterial small subunit ribosomal RNA", at positions 28 to 417 of the family's 1533-position model. The record is from RNAcentral.
GACGAACGCUGGCGGCGUGCUUAACACAUGCAAGUCGAGCGGUAAGGCCCUUUCGGGGGUACGACGAGCGGCGAACGGGUGAGUAACACGUGGGUGACCUGCCCUCAGCUCUGGGAUAAGCCUGGGAAACUAGGGUCUAAUACUGGAUAUGACUCCACGGUGCAUGUCGUGGGGUGGAAAGCCUUGUGCGGCUGAGGAUGGGCCCGCGGCCUAUCAGCUUGUUGGUGGGGUGAUGGCCUACCAAGGCGACGACGGGUAGCCGGCCUGAGAGGGCGACCGGCCACACUGGGACUGAGACACGGCCCAGACUCCUACGGGAGGCAGCAGUGGGGAAUCUUGCGCAAUGGGCGAAAGCCUGACGCAGCGACGCCGCGUGAGGGAUGACGGCCU